CUACAGAUAAUUCUGCAAUGAACCCUUUCAGACUCGUUGCUGUGUGAAUAGUGAUUAUCCUGAGUAGGUACCUAUGUGAAGAGCCUGAGUCCAAGUUCUGUGCACCUUCAACACUUUUGUCCUCCCCAGCGUGACGUUGUUAGUUCUCACUGAACUCCUGCAGCCGAUCUUGACAAGGCGCGCGCUGCUUUCCAGACCCUGACAUUCACCGAGCCCGGAGGAGCGCGGCUGCCCAUCCUGCCCUCGCGGUCAGCGCGGCCCAGAGCCCCGGGCCGUCUCAGCACUCCCGCCCUGCACUCCGGCUUCAGGUUCUGGGACAUAGAAGAAAGUCAAUGUUUUUCUUGAGCUUUAUUACAUGGAAGCAGCGCUGUGCAAGAAAAAUAUACUUCCUGAAGCAUGUCAGCCUAUAUCCAGCAGAAUAAUCCUGAAAGAGUUGUAAGAAUGAAAUGUAACUUCUACUGUAGGAAGUAUGUAGGAAAUAAAAGAUGGGGACAGAUUUUAG
RNAcentral lists this long non-coding RNA (502 nucleotides) under Chinchilla lanigera (long-tailed chinchilla). RNAcentral's name for it is "lncRNA (ENSCLAG00000023604.1)". The record is from RNAcentral. Lineage: Eukaryota; Metazoa; Chordata; Mammalia; Rodentia; Chinchillidae.